GGACUACCCGGGUUUCUAAUCCUGUUCGCUCCCCACGCUUUCGCUCUACAGCGUCAGUGUCGGCCCAGAUCACCGCCUUCGCCACCGGUGUUCCUCCUGAUAUCUGCGCAUUUCACCGCUACACCAGGAAUUCCGUGAUCCCCUACCGAACUCUAGUCACGCCAGUAUCGAGUGGCGUCUCCAGGUUGAGCCUGGAGGUUUCACACCCGACUUAGCGAACCGCCUUAAAGCGCUUUACGCCCAAUGAAUCCGGACAACGCUCGCUCCCUACGUAUUACCGCGGCGGCUGGCAC
RNAcentral lists this ribosomal RNA (293 nucleotides) under uncultured bacterium. RNAcentral describes it as "partial 16S ribosomal RNA". The record is from RNAcentral.